AGUGGGAUAGCUGGGUCAAAUGGUGGUUCCAUUCCAAGUUUUCUGAGGAAUCUCCAUGGUGCUUUCCAGAUUGGUUGCACUAAUUUGCAGUCCCACCAGCAAA
This 103-nucleotide microRNA precursor is filed under the name Marmota monax (woodchuck). The record is from RNAcentral. Lineage: Eukaryota; Metazoa; Chordata; Mammalia; Rodentia; Sciuridae.